CAUAAGAAAAGUAACAUUUACUUCAAAAAAUUUUUACAUUGUCGUGGUUACAAGAGCCAAUUAUGUUUGCAAGAACAGGACUUAACUCGCUUAGGAAAUGAUCCAUUUUACGGCUCAAUCCAAAUAACAAAUCCAAAAACCAGGAGUUAACUCGCAUCAUCGAUUGCUCAUCCGUCGAGAAAGCCUCCCAAUCACAGUACACAAACCAAUCAUCAGCUUUGGCCCCAGCAGUUGAAGUACAUGACUUGCCGGAGAGACUCAUCAGACUGUGUUGUCUUCCAGUCUCCGACACCGACGUUUAAUCGUAGAAGGCCGGAAAAUGGACGGAAAUCGGAGGAGAAGGCCUUCUUGCCAUGUCGGAGGGAGUUGAUGAGGAGGGAUUUAAGUUUGUAUCCUUGAUCUGUAUGUCCAUUGGCAACAGCUACGCCGGCGGCCAUCCAUACACGGUUUACAGAAGUCAUUUUGUGAGCGAGAAAGUAUGAAUUCUGGUAAUUAAUGAGGUGUAGAUUUGUAGUGUUGCGAUUUUCUGAUGAAAUGAAGAGAAGAGAGAGGGGAUAUUAACUUAUUUAUAGAGAUGGAGUGUGGUUUGGGGGUUAAAAUAUGCAUGGUGGUUUUGAGGGAGCAGCACAUGAGUAGCAUAGCUUAGAUGCAUUCAUGUGGCCUUCUUGGAAUGAUGGAUCUCACUCGGGGUGAGUCAUGAUCGAUGGCAACCAAUAAGCUGCCAACAGGUUUCUUCAAUUUCAUGUAUUGGGGCACGUAGAAUACGUUUGUAAUUUUUUAUAGGAUACAGAAUCACACCAAUCUGCAUCUGUCCCUUUCAAGACACGUGGGUCGAUAUCGACGCAGCUGAUAACGUGGUUUUAGCCUUUUUCUUCAAUGUUUAUGAGUGGUGGAUUUAUUAGUUAUUACACAUCCUUCUAACUAAAAUAUAUAAUAGUCCAAAUCUUCAAAUCUGUUUCGAAUAUUUCUGUUUUUGCAAUUUGUUCAUGCAUUAUUUUUCGUGUAGGGUUCCUGUGAUUACUUAAUUACAGUAUGGAUAAUUGAUUGGUCUUGCUGAUGAAGGAACAUCUGCUUCAUUUCCUUCUACUUCAUCAACGCCACAACCCCCUUCUCCCAGCGACGCCGACGUUGACGUCGACAACCCCGAGAACGACUCUGAUACCAUCGCCCCUUCUCCCUCCCAGCGGUUCUAGAUAAGGUUGAAAUGUUGGAAAGAAAAAUUGAGAUGCUAUUAAAGGGCAUGUUUCAUGUAAUGAUGGAGAAGAAGUAUGGAUGUAUUUGUUUAGCUUGAACAUUUGUUGUUGUUUUUCCUGAUCACUUUUUUUUCUAAUAGAUUUGUUGAUCACACCAAGAUAUUUGUAUGUUUUCAUGGAUUUGAAAGAAUUUAUGUUGUAUUUUGGAUUUGUGUUUAAUUUGGACUUUGUAUGGUGUUAAAUAUAAGAAAUAGCAAUGUAUUUUUAUUGAUUUA
Lactuca sativa (garden lettuce) is the source of this 1468-nucleotide non-coding RNA. The record is from RefSeq and is a predicted model, not a curated record. NCBI's taxonomy places the organism in Eukaryota, Viridiplantae, Streptophyta, Magnoliopsida, Asterales, Asteraceae.